Molecule: ribosomal RNA, 402 nt
Filed under: uncultured bacterium
Lineage: Bacteria
Description: bacterial SSU rRNA
Rfam family: Bacterial small subunit ribosomal RNA
Source: RNAcentral
GGGAAUAUUGCACAAUGGGGGAAACCCUGAUGCAGCGACGCCGCGUGAAGGAAGAAGUAUUUCGGUAUGUAAACUUCUAUCAGCAGGGAAGAAAAUGACGGUACCUGACUAAGAAGCCCCGGCUAACUACGUGCCAGCAGCCGCGGUAAUACGUAGGGGGCAAGCGUUAUCCGGAUUUACUGGGUGUAAAGGGUGCGUAGACGGGACAGCAAGUUAGUUGUGAAAGCCCUCGGCUUAACUGAGGAACUGCAACUAAAACUAUUGUUCUUGAGUGCAGGAGAGGAAAGCGGAAUUCCUAGUGUAGCGGUGAAAUGCGUAGAUAUUAGGAGGAACACCAGUGGCGAAGGCGGCUUUCUGGACUGUAACUGACGUUGAGGCACGAAAGUGUGGGGAGCAAACAGG